Molecule: unclassified non-coding RNA, 240 nt
Filed under: uncultured fungus
Lineage: Eukaryota; Fungi
Description: sequence contains ITS1
Source: RNAcentral
GUAAUAACUUUUUUCUCAAAGAAUCGCGUCUCCUAGAAGUCGCGACUCGAUGAUGGUAAAACAUUCAAAGACUUUCUACACGAAGAGGUAUAUGAAGACGCGGGUCGCCCCGCGCCCAUACGGCGAAAGGUCCGGAAGAGAGCGUGCACAUGCCCCUAGAGGCCAGCUACAACUCUCCGCCUUUCCCCUCGCCGGAUUAUAAUUUCAUUAAUGAUCCUUCCGCAGGUUCACCUACGGAAA